AUCUAUAUUAAAGAUGCUUCAAAUUAUUCUACCUUGGCUGGCUAGAAACUCAUGAGUGUGGGAAGAUCAAACAUUGUUGGUCAAGAGCCAAAAUUAUCUUGGGCUAUCUCAGACCUUUUAAAAGCCAUUUACCUGGCAGAGGAGGCUUCCAGGCCAUUGUAACACCGCUCCCGGUGCAGAGGAGGCUUCCAGGCUGCCGUACCACUGCUCCCAGCACAGAGGAGGCUUCCAGGCCACCAGACCACCACUCCCAGCACAGCAGGUCCUGGAUUGAUUUCUCGUGGUCCCUUACAAACCUCUUCUGCAGCCCAUGGGCCAGCAAAUGAUGUGCAACUUCAAGAACCUGUACACAAAGGGACCCUCGGCCAAAUGUUU
Molecule: long non-coding RNA, 375 nt
Filed under: Heterocephalus glaber (naked mole-rat)
Lineage: Eukaryota; Metazoa; Chordata; Mammalia; Rodentia; Bathyergidae
Description: lncRNA (ENSHGLG00000032415.1)
Source: RNAcentral